CAUAGCCGAGUUGAGAGACUGAUCGGCCACAUUGGGACUGAGACACGGCCCAAACUCCUACGGGAGGCAGCAGUAGGGAAUCUUCCACAAUGGACGCAAGUCUGAUGGAGCAACGCCGCGUGAGUGAAGAAGGGUUUCGGCUCGUAAAGCUCUGUUGGUAGUGAAGAAAGAUAGAGGUAGUAACUGGCCUUUAUUUGACGGUAAUUACUUAGAAAGUCACGGCUAACUACGUGCCAGCAGCCGCGGUAAUACGUAGGUGGCAAGCGUUGUCCGGAUUUAUUGGGCGUAAAGCGAGUGCAGGCGGUUCAAUAAGUCUGAUGUGAAAGCCUUCGGCUCAACCGGAGAAUUGCAUCAGAAACUGUUGAACUUGAGUGCAGAAGAGGAGAGUGGAACUCCAUGUGUAGCGGUGGAAUGCGUAGAUAUAUGGAAGAACACCAGUGGCGAAGGCGGCUCUCUGGUCUGCAACUGACG
RNAcentral lists this ribosomal RNA (471 nucleotides) under uncultured Bacilli bacterium. RNAcentral describes it as "bacterial SSU rRNA". It matches the Rfam family "Bacterial small subunit ribosomal RNA", at positions 282 to 745 of the family's 1533-position model. The record is from RNAcentral. Lineage: Bacteria; Bacillati; Bacillota; Bacilli.